GGGGUGAGCGGCGGACGGGUUAGUAACGCGUGGGAAUAUGCCCGACACUAAGGAAUAGCCUCUGGAAACGGAGAGUAAUACCUUAUACGCCCUUCGGGGGAAAGAUUUAUCGGUGACGGAUUAGCCCGCGUUAGAUUGGAUAGUUGGUGGGGUAAUGGCCUACCAAGUCUACGAUCUAUAGCUGGUUUUAGAGGAUGAUCAGCAACACUGGGACUGAGACACGGCCCAGACUCCUACGGGAGGCAGCAGUGGGGAAUCUUGGACAAUGGGCGCAAGCCUGAUCCAGCCAUGCCGCGUGAGUGAUGAAGGCCUUAGGGUCGUAAAGCUCUUUCGCCAGAGAUGAUAAUGACAGUAUCUGGUAAAGAAACCCCGGCUAACUCCGUGCCAGCAGCCGCGGUAAUACGGAGGGGGUUAGCGUUGUUCGGAAUUACUGGGCGUAAAGCGCGCGUAGGCGGAUUAGUCAGUUAGAGGUGAAAUCCCGGGGCUCAACCCCGGAACUGCCUUUAAUACUGCUAGUCUUGAGUUCGAGAGAGGUGAGUGGAAUUCCGAGUGUAGAGGUGAAAUUCGUAGAUAUUCGGAGGAACACCAGUGGCGAAGGCGGCUCACUGGCUCGAUACUGACGCUGAGGUGCGAAAGUGUGGGGAGCAAACAGGAUUAGAUACCCUGGUAGUCCACACCGUAAACGAUGAAUGCCAGUCGCCGGGUAGCAUGCUAUUCGGUGACA
This 724-nucleotide ribosomal RNA is filed under the name uncultured bacterium. Its description in RNAcentral is "bacterial SSU rRNA". It matches the Rfam family "Bacterial small subunit ribosomal RNA", at positions 88 to 848 of the family's 1533-position model. The record is from RNAcentral.